UGACUAAUUCUAGGCUCUCGCUCUCUCUCUCUCUCUCUCACACACACACACACACACAGAGCUUUCUAGCAUCAAUGCAGCAACUGGUUCUUAGGGGCUGCAGGACGACCACCUCAACUCUCCUCCCUGAAGACUUGGGGGUCCCGAUUUCUGCCCCCCUCCACCAGCUAAAGUGCUGGCCCUAACCAAUCCCCCUCCCUAAGUCUCCAGUAGGGUCAACGCUUUGCUCCCCUGCCCCAUUUCAUCCACCCCCUUCCCAAGGAAACCGUGGAGCCAAGGAGCCCCCCGCCUCCUCCCCAAAUGCAGCCCCAUCGACCAUCACGGUGCAGAGGAGAACCAAGAAGUGGGGUGCCGUGGGGUGCCACCUCCUCUCCCCCCUCGCCAAGCCUGCAACUGCGAGAAGGAGGGGCUCUCUCUGGACCCGACUACGCUCCAGCUUCAACCCCAAGAGCUGCAGAUGGAAGGCAGGAGUUUCUCACCCUCGCUCCGCGCAUCGUGUGCCCAUCUACUGCAUCACCAGGAGCAUCGGGCACAUGUUCCAGCUGUUGCCCUCAUUCGCUAAGCAUGUCUCAAUAAACAAGGGUGCACAUUGGCUCCCAGUCACAGCACACACCCUGUGUCUUCUGAUGUUCCCUCUGAUCCUAAAGCGGCCUGGCCCUCCGCCCCCACCCUGAGUACAGGAACCCAAAGGCAUGUGGAGAUACAACAAGCCCUUGGUAUCUUAUUGUUCUGGAAAUUCCUGCACUGCUGGGAGAUCUGAUAACAUCUGUAAAUUAAGACAGUUGGCAAAUUCUUUUUAAACAGGGUGUUAUGGAUAUCUCCUUCUCCAGGUCAGGAGGAACGCUCUAAAACUGUCUUCUCAUAUUUGCCUGCCUGGUGGAAAUUGGGGUUGUUUCUUUUGACGUUUCAACCCUGCCCUUCCUCCAAGGAACUUGGAGUGGUUUACGUGGGACACAGUCUUCCAAGAAAUGCGCUUCCUGGAGCCUCAGUGAAAUGAACUUCAUUGCGCAUGGACACAUCUCCCACCCAUUUCAAUCAGACUGAAGCAGGAGGUGAAUUUGGGGCCACACAGAGACCACAUCCUGGCCAGGAUCUGGCUUGCUCUGCUUCAAAAACAGGAUCACACCAAGUGCCUAGACAUGGACAAGAAUAUUCUCUAACCACUGCCGCCUGCUGCAAAUAUUCUUCACCUAGAAGGGGGAAGAAUGCAUAGGAAAAGAGCUGGUCUUGUGGUAGCAAGCAUGACUUGUCUUCUUAGCUAAGCAGGGCCCACCCUGGUUGCAUAUGGAAGGGAGACUAGAAGUGUGAGCACUGGAAGAGAUUCCCCUCUGGGGAUGGAGCCACUCUGGGAAGAGCAUCUAGGUCCCAAGUUCCUUCCCUGGCAACAUCUCCAAGAGAGGGCUGAGAGAGACUCCUGCCUGCAACCCUGGAGAAGCUGCUGCCAGUCUGUGAAGACAAUACUGAGCUAGAUGGACCAAGGGUCUGACUAAGUAUAUGGCAGCUUCCUAGGUUCCUAAUUAUUAUCCAGUUCACACAUUCUGGGCCACAUACUGAGCCAGAUUCUCAGCCAUGUCCCGAGUGCAAGAUCUGCCUUGUAGGAAUCUCACGGCCAGUCCACACGGCCAGAGUUAGGGCAGGAGAAACCUUCUGCCCUAAACCGGGUGCUGAGUGUGCUCCCAUUUGCCGAUCGGCCUUUACCUGAGCUCUGAUUAAAUUUCUGGCUCAGCUGCCGACUUACUAACCAGACUAUUUACUCACCCCACCCGAGAGCACAGUAAGUUCUUGCAUGACCUCUACUUUUCAGCCUUAUCCUCUUUGGCGGUGACCCUCGUUUCCUCUGUAUCGGAGCUACGUGCCCAUCGCUCGCCCAAGAGCUUAGGACUGCAAACAGUUUUGACCCUAUCCAGUUCCAGCUGUGCUUUGAAAUAAGGUGUUUGUGUGUGGCAGUCACCCCAGAAUGUAGACGGGGAUACACAUCCAAUGGGUGCAGCAUUGAAAGCAAUGCCACUUGUUUCCAAGAGCUGGACAGCAAAUCUGUAGCAGGCAAUAAACAUUUGGUAGAUGAAAGGCAAACCUUACCCUCCAAGAAGCAACUUUCAGUGGUGUGUACUCUUCCACAGAUAGCACAAUCAUCAUGCUGGAGCCCUUCAGGCUGGCACCACCAAAGGCCAAUAAAGCCUAUUUAGAGUAAGGGCAAUGCUUCUCAAACUGGUCACAUGGUCCUAGUCAGUCAAGAACGUGAGAACAAACAAAGCCUGUUCAGGGAAAGACUUCCUUAUCAGGUGAAUACUUUCUGCAUUUUAAUUUUUUUAUUAUUUGCAAAGCUCACUGGAAGUGAGAAGAGCCUCUGAACAUAAAUGAAGUUAGCAUAUACCAAGUCAGAUCAUGGGCCAAAGGUAAAGGUAAAGUGUGCCGUCAGGUCAGUGGUGCCGUCUGGGUCACCAGCCCAGAGCCCUGUGGUUGUCUUUGGUAGAAUACAGGAGGGGUUUACCAUUGCAUCCUCCCACGCAGUAUGAGAUGAUGCCUUUCAGCAUCUUCCUAUAUUGCUGCUGCCUGAUAUAGGUGUUUCCAAUAGUCAAUAUUGUCCACCCUUGACUGGUAGCAACUCUCUAGGGGAGGAGAACUGUUCUUGCAUAAGCAAACAUGUUUUGCUAUGCAGGGUAUGUCCUGGUUUGUGUUUGGAUGGGUGACUACUUUGAGCACUGCUUGCUGUAACCCCCUUUGGGGGUUGGGCCAUAACUCAGUGGUGGAGCAUCUGCUUGCAUAUAGUAGGUCCCAAGUUCACUCCCUGGCAGCAUCUCCAGGUAGGGCUGGGAGAAACCCCCUCCUGAAACCUUGGAGAGCCACUGCCAGUCAGUGUAGAGUAGACCAGGGGUUCCCAACCUGUGGUGCUCUAGCUGUUGCUGAACUACAACUCCCAUCAUCCCCAGCUACAAUGUAUUGUGACGGCAGCUCCCUAAAGCCCUAAGGGUUUCCCCAGCUUCCUGGAGAGGCUGUUUACACAGAGAAAUAACACAUAAAUAAGAUGGCUCCCUGUCCCCAAAGGGCUCACAAUCUAAAAAGAAACAUAAGACAGACACCAGCAACAGCCACUGGAAGUCCUGUGCUGGGGGUGGAUAGGGCCAGUUACUCUCCCCCUGCUAAAUAAAAGAGAAUCGCCACCUUAAAAGGUGCCUCUUUGCCCAGUUAGCAGGGGUUGCCUGCAAUGCAGAUAUCUGGCCUCCAUCCCUGGUCCCACCAUCUCCCAUCAACAAAGCCAGGUGGGAGGUGGGCCUGUGCCCACCAAUGUUGCCACUGAACCAGCCAUUUCCUUCUUUGGGGCCCUCCUUUCUGCAACUCCUUCCACACGGGAGCUGGCAGGGGAAGAGCCUCAGGGACAGAUCGGAGGGGACGACUAGCCAAGAGCUGGGCAGAUGCUCUGAAGAGGGAACCUGGCGGGGGGGGGGGUCGCAUCAACUGCUGGGCUCCUCCCCACUGACCUUGGCAGACACUGUGGCAUCCCGCAGCAGCCCCUGACCCAGUCGCCACUGCCUCUUGCUUUCCCUUGAAUGUAACUCAACGCCCCUGGCUCCAGCCCCAGCCUAUUUUUAACUAAGGGGGAGCAAAAGGACGGGCUAUUUGCUUUUUAAACCCUCUUAGGAGCAGCAGCAGCAGCAGCAGAUUUCCCUGGCUUUCCCUGGGAUUCCUGCCCGUCCACACCUCUCUCCAAAGCCAACAAACUGGCAGUUGCCAAAUUCCAAGUCUAGCUCGGAACAAAGAGAAUAACCCCGGCCUGAGAAGACACUGCCAGCCCAGGGGUUGAGUUGCAGCAAAGCGGCAGUGAGGCAGAUGAGGAUGGGCUGCUUCUUCCACUGGUCUCCUCCGCUGCUGCUGCCCGCUUUGCAGGGGCAGCUGCUGACCUCUAGCGGCUCCCGAGGAGAACUGAAGAGCGCCCCCCCCCCACACCAGAGGCUGUUGCUGCCAGCCAGCUUCAGUCCAAGGGAGCUUUUCCGCAGGCCCCCUCCUGCAGGCCUCCGUGGGGCCUGCCUCUGCGUCUGGCUGGAUGCUUCGGAGAGCACCCAAAAGCCACCCAGAGCAACCAGACAGAGCCAAGGAAGGGCUGGGCCACUUUCCUGAGUGCUGCAGAAGAGCGAAUUUUGGUCACUGCAGAUUCUCUCACCUCUGCAGCACUGUAAGGGGACAAGCAGUUCAAUGUUCUCCCCGUUACUCAAACCACUUGCAGAAGUGUCUUCAAGUAUGAUUGAUGAUGAUGAUGAUGAUGAUGAUGAUAGCAUACUGCUUUUCAAGAAUUUAUUAUUAAUAAUAAAUUCAAGCCAUUUACAUAAGCAAAAACAAACAAACAAACCCCCACAUGAAGCCUGCCCUCCUCCUAGUCAUGGGCAGUGCCGAGAGGCAUAGCCCAUUUAAGCUCCAAAACAACCCUGUGAGGCACCUUGGGCUGAGAGAGCAGCCAGCUUCAAGGCUGAGCAAGAAUUUGAAGGCGAGUGGCCCAGGGUGGGGGGUGGAGAGCCUUGAAUGGGUCGAAACAUAACCAUCCCGGGGUCUGUUCAGCAGUGACAUGCAGUGGAGGAAGGGCAAGGAUUCCUCCGCCCGUUGCUGGAGUGUGGGUCAGGGUCCAGCCACCUGGUCAAGGAGGGGCCACCCAUCGCUUCGUGGUCCAGCCCCUGCUUUGAAGGCAGAAGGCCCCAGGCUCAGCCCUCGGCGGCAUCUCCAGCGAGGGCUGGGAAAGACCUCUGAGCAUGAAAUCCUGGAGAGAUGCUGCCAGUCAGUGUGGGCGGAACCCAGCGGGAGGGACUCCAUAUAAGGCAGCUUCCUACGAACUCAGCUUCAAAUGAGAGACGAACUGUAGAGCACUCUGGCCGCUGCAGAAUGCCACAGACAGCAGGCCCAAUCUCGAUCCCAGUCCGCGUUGCAACGGAGCAGAGGCUUUGAGCUCUUGGCGGGAUUCUGGAAGCCAGUGAAUGCCUGCCUGCUCCCCCUCUGUGAGAGGUCCGGCCUCUGGGGCUUGUUCAUUUUCAGUGCCAGCUACCAGGCGCAGGAGGAGAAGUCUAAGGGGACCGAGCGGGGUGGUAGUUAGGAGAGGGGCAAUGAACAAACCUCUCUCCUGCUGGGAAAUAUUGACAAGUCCAUUAUGAGCAUGUGUAAGUAUCCCUCCCACUGGUGUCAUGCAAGCAGCCUUCUAUCCUUGUCUGUCUGGAGCGAUUCUUUAUCUGCUCCAUGGAAGAAAAACGUCCCCAUAUUCUCUCCCGCUGCUCCUGACCUGCCAACCUGGGGAGCCCUUUUGCCCCCGAGAGCCGUAACAUUAUUUUUGGAUGUGUUUAUGACGCCAAAUGGUCUGCGCUAGAGCGGGUGCCGUUCUUGAGCUGGGGACCAUAUGGCACGCCGCGUAAUAAAUAAGGUAUUGUGAUAGUUAAUGAACCUAAUUGCUAGCAGAGGCUUUAAUACAAAGCCUGUGCUGCUGAGAAUUUAGCACCGCAUUAGGGAUGCGACGGAGCUCCCCUGACUUCUGAGGCUUAAUUUAAGUUCUAUAUUGCAAACUCCAGAAAAUAAUUCCAAACCCUCCUGCUGGAAAAGCAACCUGCUGGUAGACUGUGAUUAUACUGAAUUACUAAAAAAUUGCAAUCAAUUUUAUCCACACAGUUAACCCUUGCGACAGCGUUCUCCUUGGGGUGGUUUUUGACUUUCAUCCGCUGAAAACCACCCCCUUGGAGACAGGCAGAUACCUAAGCUAAAGACCCCACUCUAGCAGAUGCAAGACCAACCAAGUGUCUCACAUAGGGACAUAUUUGUUUUAUUUAUUUAUUUAAAAUAUUUUAAUACUCCCCCCCCAAAAAAACCUUGUGUCUCUGGGCAGUUUACAAUUAAAAUCAUUUAAAACGUUAAAUCAAUUAAACAAUUAAAAUCAUUAACAUUAAACUCAUUUAAAACCAACAUUAAAAAUUUAAAACCAUAAAUCGAAUUAAAAGCCUGGGUGAAUAAAUGUGUCUUCAGUGCCUUUUUAAAAGUUGCAAGAGAUGGGGAGGCUCUUAUUUCAACAGGGAGCACAUUCCAAAGUCCAGGGGCAGCAACAGAGAAGACCCGUUCCCGAGUAGCCACCAAACAAGUUGGCAGAAACCUCUCCAGAAGACAUAGGCAGCUGCUUUCUACCAAGUCAGACCCUUGGUCCAUCUAGGUCAGUAUUGUCUACACAGACUGGCAGUGGCUUCUCCAAGGUUGCAGGCAGGAGUCCCUCUCAGCUCCAUCUUGGAGAUGUUGCCAGGGAAGGAACUAGGAAACUUCUGAAUGCAAGCAGGCAGGUGCUCUCCCCAGAGCGACCCCACCCCCUAAGCGGAGUAUCUUUCUGUGCCCCCAUGUCGUCUCCUAUUCAAAUGCAAACAGGGUGGACCCUGCUUAGCAAAUGGGACAAGUCAUGCUUGCUAUCACUCACUGCAGGCUGGCCACUCAUCAGGGAGAGCUGUGCAGUUGACCAUGCCUACAACCUUACAUAGGAACAUAGGAAACUGCCAUAUACUGAGUCAGACCAUUGGUCUAUCUAGCUCAGUAUUGUCUUCACAGACUGGCAGCAGCUUCUCCAAGGCUGCAGGCAGGAAUCUCUCUCAGCCUUAACUUGGAGAUGCUGCCAGGGAGGGAACUUGAAACCUUCUGCUCUUCCCAGAGCGGCUUCAUCCCCUGAGGGGAACAUCUUCCAGUGCUCACACUUCUAGUCUCCCAUUCAAAUUCAAGCAGAGCAGACCCUGCAUAGCAAAGGGGACAAGUCAUGCUUGCUCCCACCAGACCAGCUCUCCUCCCUUGCAACAAUAAAAAGCUCUGACCAUAAAAGCUGUCCUGGGUUUCCUUCCCCAUGGGCCAAUCAGCACACUGUAGCAGCUGAACAACCACACAAACGCUGACCGAGUCCUAACCCAACACAUGUGCCACACACCUUCAGCAGGUCAUGCAACAUUUCCAGGCCCAGUUGAAAGGGCUGGUCACCACCUUAUCUGUCUCCAGCACAGCAUCAUCCCUCCAGCGGCUGUUGCUGGUGUCUGUCUUGUGUUUCUUUUUUGGAUUGUGAGCCCUUUGGGGACAGGGAGCCGUCUUAUUAAUUUAUUAUUUCUCUGUGUAAACCGCUUUGGGAACUUUUGGCUGAAAAGCAGCAUAUAAAUAUUCAUCAUAUCAUAUAUCAUAUCCUAACUCCCAUC
Hemicordylus capensis (graceful crag lizard) is the source of this 7181-nucleotide long non-coding RNA. RefSeq lists it as uncharacterized. The transcript has 3 exons. NCBI's taxonomy places the organism in Eukaryota, Metazoa, Chordata, Lepidosauria, Squamata, Cordylidae. The record is from RefSeq and is a predicted model, not a curated record.